UUGACGUGCUUACCAUGCAGUCGAACGCUGAAGCACCAGCUUGCUGGUGUGGAUGAAUGGCGAACGGGUGAGUAAUACGUGAGUAACCUGCCCUUGACUCUGGGAUAAGCCCGGGAAACUGGGUCUAAUACUGGAUGCUACAUGUCACCGCAUGGUGGUGUGUGGAAAGGGUUUACUGGUCUUGGAUGGGCUCACGGCCUAUCAGCUUGUUGGUGAGGUAAUGGCUCACCAAGGCGACAACGGGUAGCCGGCCUGAAAGGGUGACCGGCCACACUGGGACUGAAACACGGCCCAAACUCCUACGGGAGGCAGCAGUGGGGAAUAUUGCACAAUGGGCGAAAGCCUGAUGCAGCGACGCCGCGUGAGGGAUGACGGCCUUCGGGUUGUAAACCUCUUUCAGCAGGGAAGAAGCCACAAGUGACGGUACCUGCAGAAGAAGCGCCGGCUAACUACGUGCCAGCAGCCGCGGUAAUACGUAGGGCGCAAGCGUUGUCCGGAAUUAUUGGGCGUAAAGAGCUCGUAGGCGGUUUGUCGCGUCUGCUGUGAAAGCCCGGGGCUUAACCCCGGGUGUGCAGUGGGUACGGGCAGACUAGAGUGCAGUAGGGGAGACUGGAAUUCCUGGUGUAGCGGUGGAAUGCGCAGAUAUCAGGAGGAACACCGAUGGCGAAGGCAGGUCUCUGGGCUGUUACUGACGCUGAGGAGCGAAAGCAUGGGGAGCGAACAGGAUUAGAUACCCUGGUAGUCCAUGCCGUAAACGUUGGGCACUAGGUGUGGGGGACAUUCCACGUUUUCCGCGCCGUAGCUAACGCAUUAAGUGCCCCGCCUGGGGAGUACGGCCGCAAGGCUAAAACUCAAAGGAAUUGACGGGGGCCCGCACAAGCGGCGGAGCAUGCGGAUUAAUUCGAUGCAACGCGAAGACCUUACCAAGGCUUGACAUAUACCGGGAUCGUUCCAGAGAUGGUUCUUCCCCUUUGGGGUCGGUAUACAGGUGGUGCAUGAUGUCGUCAGCUCGUGUCGUGAGAUGUUGGGUUAAGUCCCGCACGAGCGCACCCUCGUUCAUGUUGCAGCACGUGAUGGUGGGACUCAUGGGAGACUGCGGUCACUCGAGAGUGGGAUGACGUCAUCAUCAUGCCUUAUGUUUUGGCUCACGCAUGCUCAAUGGCCGGUACAGUGCCCUUCUUGAGUGACUAUCCGAAGCCGUCAGUCGAUGAGUCUGCACUGCACUUUA
Molecule: ribosomal RNA, 1228 nt
Filed under: Kocuria palustris
Lineage: Bacteria; Bacillati; Actinomycetota; Actinomycetes; Micrococcales; Micrococcaceae
Description: bacterial SSU rRNA
Rfam family: Bacterial small subunit ribosomal RNA
Source: RNAcentral